CUACGGGAUGCUGCAGUGAGGAAUAUUGCGCAAUGGGGGAAACCCUGACGCAGCGACGCCGCGUGGAUGAUGAAGGCCUUCGGGUCGUAAAAUCCUGUCAGAAGGAAAGAAGUAUAUGGUAGCUAAUAUCUGCCAUAUUUGACGGUACCUUCAAAGGAAGCACCGGCUAACUCCGUGCCAGCAGCCGCGGUAAUACGGAGGGUGCACGCGUUGUUCGGAAUUACUGGGCGUAAAGCGCGCGUAGGCGGCUGUUUAAGUCAGAUGUGAAAGCCCAUGGCUUAACCAUGGACGUGCAUUUGAUACUGGGCAGCUUGAGUACUGGAGGGGGUGGUGGAAUUCCCGGUGUAGAGGUGAAAUUCGUAGAUAUCGGGAGGAAUACCGGUGGCGAAGGCGACCACCUGGCCAGAUACUGACGCUGAGGUGCGAAAGCGUGGGGAGCAAACAGGAUUAGAUACCCGAGUAGUC
This 465-nucleotide ribosomal RNA is filed under the name uncultured bacterium. RNAcentral's name for it is "partial 16S ribosomal RNA". It matches the Rfam family "Bacterial small subunit ribosomal RNA", at positions 339 to 795 of the family's 1533-position model. The record is from RNAcentral.